GUAGUCGGAUUCGGGGCGGGGCGACCGGUCUGCCGAUGGGUAUGCACUGGUCGGCGCGUCCUUCCUUCCGGAGACCGUGCCUACUCUUAACUGAGCGGGGGCGGGAGACGGAUCGUUUACUUUGAAAAAAUCAGAGUGUUUCAAGCAGGCGUCUCGCCUUUGCAUGGAUUAGCAUGGGAUAAUGAAAUAGGACUUUGGUGCUAUUUUGUUGGUUUCGAACACCGAAGUAAUGAUUAACAGGGACAGUCAGGGGCACUCGUAUUCCGUCGAGAGAGGUGAAAUUCUCAGACCAAUGGAAGACGAACAACUGCGAAAGCAUUUGCCAGGGAUGUUUUCACUGAUCAAGAACGAAAGUUAGGGGAUCGAAGACGAUCAGAUACCGUCGUAGUCUUAACCAUAAACCAUGCCGACUAGGGAUCGGAGGAUGUUAGAUUUGACU
This 439-nucleotide ribosomal RNA is filed under the name uncultured marine haptophyte. RNAcentral's name for it is "SSU rRNA". It matches the Rfam family "Eukaryotic small subunit ribosomal RNA", at positions 630 to 1076 of the family's 1831-position model. The record is from RNAcentral. Lineage: Eukaryota; Haptophyta.